RNAcentral lists this unclassified non-coding RNA (387 nucleotides) under soil metagenome. RNAcentral describes it as "partial contains 5.8S ribosomal RNA, internal transcribed spacer 2, and large subunit ribosomal RNA". The stretch from base 1 to 120 matches the Rfam family "5.8S ribosomal RNA", at positions 35 to 154 of the family's 154-position model. The record is from RNAcentral.
GAUGAAGAACGCAGUGAAAUGCGAUAAGUAAUGUGAAUUGCAGAAUUCAGUGAAUCAUCGAAUCUUUGAACGCACCUUGCACCCUUUGGCAUUCCGAAGGGUAUGCUCGUUUGAGUGUCAUUGUACUCUCACACUCUCCGAUCCUAUGGAUUCGGGGAGCGGUGGACUUGGGUGUUGCUGCCUUUCCUUGUGGCUCACCUCAAAUGUGUCAGUGCACCUCUUGGUUGGACAUAGUACGGCGUGAUAAGUGUCUUCGCCGGCACCUCGCAAGAGGGUGGCCGAUCGGGAGCUCUGUGCUUUCAAACCGUCUUCGGACAAUUUCUGACAACUUGACCUCAAAUCGAGUAGGACUACCCGCUGACCUUAAGCAUAUCAAUAAGCGGAGGA